This 378-nucleotide unclassified non-coding RNA is filed under the name uncultured Cellvibrionales bacterium. Its description in RNAcentral is "contains 16S-23S intergenic spacer region". The record is from RNAcentral. Lineage: Bacteria; Pseudomonadati; Pseudomonadota; Gammaproteobacteria; Cellvibrionales.
UCCGGUUUGUCACCGGCAGUCUCCUUUGAGUUCCCACCAUUACGUGCUGGCAACAAAGGACAAGGGUUGCGCUCGUUACGGGACUUAACCCAACAUCUCACGACACGAGCUGACGACAGCCAUGCAGCACCUGUCACUCAGUUCCCGAAGGCACCAAUCCAUCUCUGGAAAGUUCUGAGGAUGUCAAGACCUGGUAAGGUUCUUCGCGUUGCGUCGAAUUAAACCACAUGCUCCACCGCUUGUGCGGGCCCCCGUCAAUUCAUUUGAGUUUUAACCUUGCGGCCGUACUCCCCAGGCGGUCUACUUAUUGCGUUAGCUGCGUCACAAAGUCCUCAAGGAACCCUACGACUAGCACCCAACGUUUACGGCUGGGACUAC